UUUUAUGAGAGUUUGAUCCUGGCUCAGGACGAACGCUGGCGGCGUGCCUAAUACAUGCAAGUUGAACGCUUCUUUUUCCACCGGAGCUUGCUCCACCGGAAAAAGAGGAGUGGCGAACGGGUGAGUAACACGUGGGUAACCUGCCCAUCAGAAGGGGAUAACACUUGGAAACAGGUGCUAAUACCGUAUAACAAUC
Molecule: ribosomal RNA, 196 nt
Filed under: Enterococcus faecium
Lineage: Bacteria; Bacillati; Bacillota; Bacilli; Lactobacillales; Enterococcaceae
Description: partial 16S ribosomal RNA
Rfam family: Bacterial small subunit ribosomal RNA
Source: RNAcentral